This 107-nucleotide small RNA is filed under the name Marmota monax (woodchuck). The record is from RNAcentral. Lineage: Eukaryota; Metazoa; Chordata; Mammalia; Rodentia; Sciuridae.
GUUGGGCAUGGUGACCGAUGCCUGUAAUCCUAGCAACUCGGGAGGCUGAGGCAGGAGGAUUGCGAGUUUGAGGCCAGCCUCAGCAACUUAGCAAAACCCUGUCUCAA